RNAcentral lists this ribosomal RNA (490 nucleotides) under uncultured bacterium. Its description in RNAcentral is "partial 16S ribosomal RNA". It matches the Rfam family "Bacterial small subunit ribosomal RNA", at positions 29 to 507 of the family's 1533-position model. The record is from RNAcentral.
AUUGAACGCUGGCGGCAUGCCUUACACAUGCAAGUCGAACGGCAUCGCGGGAAAGCUUGCUUUCCUGGCGGCGAGUGGCGAACGGGUGAGUAACACAUCGGAACGUACCGGCUAGUGGGGGAUAACCCGUCGAAAGGCGGGCUAAUACCGCAUACGCUCUUCGGAGGAAAGCAGGGGACCUUUGGGCCUUGCGCUAGCCGAGCGGCCGAUGUCCGAUUAGCUAGUUGGUGGGGUAAAGGCCUACCAAGGCGACGAUCGGUAGCGGGUCUGAGAGGACGAUCCGCCACACUGGGACUGAGACACGGCCCAGACUCCUACGGGAGGCAGCAGUGGGGAAUCUUGGACAAUGGGGGCAACCCUGAUCCAGCAAUGCCGCGUGGGUGAAGAAGGCCUUCGGGUUGUAAAGCCCUUUCGGCAGGGAAGAAAUCGGCGGGGCGAAUAACCCUGCUGGAUGACGGUACCUGCAGAAGAAGCACCGGCUAACUACGUG